This 554-nucleotide ribosomal RNA is filed under the name Staphylococcus arlettae. RNAcentral's name for it is "bacterial SSU rRNA". It matches the Rfam family "Bacterial small subunit ribosomal RNA", at positions 100 to 641 of the family's 1533-position model. The record is from RNAcentral. Lineage: Bacteria; Bacillati; Bacillota; Bacilli; Caryophanales; Staphylococcaceae.
GGACGGGUGAGUAACACGUGGGUAACCUACCUAUAAGACUGGAAUAACUCCGGGAAACCGGGGCUAAUGCCGGAUAACAUUUAGAACCGCAUGGUUCUAAAGUGAAAGAUGGUUUUGCUAUCACUUAUAGAUGGACCCGCGCCGUAUUAGCUAGUUGGUAAGGUAAUGGCUUACCAAGGCAACGAUACGUAGCCGACCUGAGAGGGUGAUCGGCCACACUGGAACUGAGACACGGUCCAGACUCCUACGGGAGGCAGCAGUAGGGAAUCUUCCGCAAUGGGCGAAAGCCUGACGGAGCAACGCCGCGUGAGUGAUGAAGGGUUUCGGCUCGUAAAACUCUGUUAUUAGGGAAGAACAAACGUGUAAGUAACUGUGCACGUCUUGACGGUACCUAAUCAGAAAGCCACGGCUAACUACGUGCCAGCAGCCGCGGUAAUACGUAGGUGGCAAGCGUUAUCCGGAAUUAUUGGGCGUAAAGCGCGCGUAGGCGGUUUCUUAAGUCUGAUGUGAAAGCCCACGGCUCAACCGUGGAGGGUCAUUGGAAACUGGGAGAC